Patella vulgata (common limpet) is the source of this 486-nucleotide long non-coding RNA. RefSeq lists it as uncharacterized. The transcript is spliced from 3 exons. Lineage: Eukaryota; Metazoa; Mollusca; Gastropoda; Patellidae. The record is from RefSeq and is a predicted model, not a curated record.
ACGAGUGUGACGACACUGAUGCGCCAUUUUGUAGACCGAGUGAAUGACGUCAAUGAAACGGUUACAACAGCAAUAGAACAAGUAGUUGAUAAUAAUUAUGCCGGUGAUGUCGGAUAUUUAUGUCAACUAAGAAUGGCGGGAGAAUCUGAUAUACCAUCUACUCGUAUCUCAUCUUUAUCUCAGGUCAAUCCACUGACGAAAAUUUACAACAAGGUGGCGACCUUAUCUCUUUAUUUCCAAAUACUAAACUGGGACUUCAUCAAGAACUGUGGUCUAGAUUUCACUCAUCUGAUCGGAACACCUCCGGUAUGCUACUGGAAACAGGUCUUACGUCACUUCCGUCAUCGUGUUCCUGGUCAGUUUUGUCGUAAAUCAUUUCCUAUCGAUGGCGUCACUUCUUGUACUACUGCUGUAGAUCUGGUCUAUGUUAUUCUCGAGAGUUCACGUGGUAUCUUAGCAUCGUUAGACAGUCAGGUCAACAUAUAU